Non-coding RNA from Pelobates cultripes (western spadefoot toad), 213 nucleotides. The record is from the annotation of a GenBank genome assembly. Lineage: Eukaryota; Metazoa; Chordata; Amphibia; Anura; Pelobatidae.
CAUGAAAUGUAUUAUGUAAGCAUCCACAAUUAGAGUUGUGUGCUGUCUUCUGUAAUUGCAGUAGAUGCCAAAUGGUUCUUUACAAAAAUGGCUUUGUCCUUUCUUAACUAGACAUGUCUUUUCUUUUUAUCAUGUGUGAACAGGGCUUGUUCAGAUUAUCCUAUAUCUGCUGAAACAUCAGUAAUCAGCAACUGCAAGGACUCACAAAACCAA